UCCGGUAUGGUCUAGUGGUUAGGAUACCUGGCUCUCACCUAGGAGGCUCGGGUUCGAUUCCCGGUACCGGAA
Molecule: transfer RNA, 72 nt
Filed under: Cryptotermes secundus
Lineage: Eukaryota; Metazoa; Arthropoda; Insecta; Blattodea; Kalotermitidae
Description: tRNA-Glu (CTC) (tRNA-Glu-CTC-3-1)
Rfam family: tRNA
About the family: Transfer RNA (tRNA) molecules are approximately 80 nucleotides in length. Their secondary structure includes four short double-helical elements and three loops (D, anti-codon, and T loops).
Source: Rfam by way of RNAcentral